This 239-nucleotide ribosomal RNA is filed under the name Aquitalea sp. October_NA4A3. RNAcentral's name for it is "partial 16S ribosomal RNA". It matches the Rfam family "Bacterial small subunit ribosomal RNA", at positions 1086 to 1326 of the family's 1533-position model. The record is from RNAcentral. Lineage: Bacteria; Pseudomonadati; Pseudomonadota; Betaproteobacteria; Neisseriales; Chromobacteriaceae.
CCCGCAACGAGCGCAACCCUUGCCAUUAGUUGCUACCAUUCAGUUGAGCACUCUAAUGGGACUGCCGGUGACAAACCGGAUGAAGGUGGGGCUGACGUCAAGUCCUCAUGGCCCUUAUGACCAGGGCUUCACACGUCAUACAAUGGUCUGUACAGAGGGUAGCCCAGCCGCGAGGUGGAGCCAAUCUCAUAAAACCUAUCGUAGUCCGGAUCGCAUUCUUCAACUCGAGUGCGUGAAGU